Molecule: ribosomal RNA, 3156 nt
Filed under: Mantamonas plastica
Lineage: Eukaryota; Mantamonadidae
Description: eukaryotic LSU rRNA
Rfam family: Eukaryotic large subunit ribosomal RNA
Source: RNAcentral
AGAAACUAACAAGGAUUCCCUCAGUAGCGGCGAGCGAAGCGGGAAGAGCUCAAAUUUGGAAUCAGUUCAUUUCAUGAAACUGAAUUGUAGUUUAGAGAAGUGUUAUUGAGUGACGGGCACGGGCACAAAUCACUUUUACCGUGAGGGGUGUCGUAGAGGGUGAAAACCCCGUACAUGGCCUGGUUUACGUCUCGAUACAAAGGCACUUUCGACGAGUCGGGUUGUUUGGGAAUGCAGCCUUAAAUGGGUGGUAAAUGUACAUCCAAAGCUAAAUAAUGGCGAGAGACCGAUAGCGAACAAGUACCGUGAGGGAAAGAUGAAAAGCACUUUGAAAAGAAGGUGAAAAGUACUUGAAAAUUGUUAAAAGGGAAGCGAUGAGAGUCAGAGGUGUGUCUAUCGAAAUCAACUGGGUCGAUUCUGUUUGACGCUGGAAACCCCGAGUCUAUAGGUUAUUGCAUUCAGCAUGGCCGAUUCACGGUGUGAACACUAGCGUACCAGUGCACUUUUGAUAUGACACAGGACAACAUGGGUGACGAUCUGGGGAAAAUGCAGGCAGUGAGGUGUCGGCGCUUAAACUACGGUUUGACCGGCUGAUUUACAGACUGUUCUGAGAUACCCGGAUCCGGUUACUGAGGCCCUCUUUGAGGGAUUGGAGCAGGCCACGAUGGCUGGGCAGACCCGUUGGCGGAGUAAUGGUCGGAGCGUUGAUCCAUGUGAGCAACACCACCGUGAAACCGUGCUUGGGAUGACCGAAAUUGUGCUUCCGUGAUGUUGUCGCGAAUGGCUUUGAUCGGCCCGUCUUGAAACACGGACCUAGGAGUCUAACAUGAGUGCGAGUGUUAAGGUGGUGAAACCUUUGGACGCGUAAUGAAAGUGAAGGUGUUGCGAUGGCGCACCGAGGUGGGACACGGAGGCUGCUUGCAGCCGAUGUGGCACCAUCGACCGACCUGGAUGAUAUUCUGAAGGGUUUGAGUAAGAGCAUUUAUGUUGGGACCCGAAAGAUGGUGAACUAUGCCUGGGCAGGGUGAAGCCAGGGGAAACUCUGGUGGAGGCUCGUAGCGAUACUGACGUGCAAAUCGUUCGUCUGAUCUGGGUAUAGGGGCGAAAGACUAAUCGAACCAUCUAGUAGCUGGUUCCCUCCGAAGUUUCCCUCAGGAUAGCAGGAGCUCGUUAACAGUUUUAUCAGGUAAAGCGAAUGAUUAGAGGAUUCGGGGAAGAAACUUCCUCGACCUAUUCUCAAACUUUAAAUUGGUAAGAAGCCCUUGUUGCUUUACUUUGUAAAUAUGAACUUGGGCGUGGAAUGGAGAGUUCUUAGUGGGCCAUUUUUGGUAAGCAGAACUGGCGAUGCGGGAUGAACCGAACGUUACGUUAAAGUGCCACAGUGCACGCUCAUGUAGAAACCAAAAAAGGUGUUGGUUCAUUAUGACAGUAGGACGGUGGUCAUGGAAGUCGAAAUCCGCUAAGGAGUGUGUAACAACUCACCUACCGAAUGAACUAGCCCUGAAAAUGGAUGGCGCUCAAGCGUGCCACUUAUACGUAACCAUUGUCGCAAAUGCGAAGCGACAAUGAGUAGGAGGGCGUGGAAUUUGUUAGGAAUGGUUGGGCGUGAGCCUGCCUGAAACGGAUUCUAGUGCAGAUCUUGGUGGUAGUAGCAAAUAUUCAAAUGAGAACUUUGAAGGCCGAAGUGGAGAAAGGUUCCUUGUGAACAGCAAUUGGACAAGGGUUAGUCGGUCCUAAGAGAUAGGUUAAAACUGUAACAAGUCGAGCGUGAACCCUCACGGGUGAGUGCUCGGGCCCAUCGAAAGGGAAUCGGGUUAAUAUUCCCGAACCAGAAUGUCGAUAAUUAUGACGGUAACGUAAAUGAACCCCGAUACGCCGGAGGGAGCCCUGGAAAGAGUUUUCUUUUCUUUUUUACCGCGUAUUGCCCUGGAAACAAGUUUGUUGGAGAUGGGGCUAAACCGUGGGCAAAGCACUCUACUUUUUGGAGUGUCCCGGAGCGCUUCGACGGCCCGUGAAACUCGGGGGGAACAAGUGAUUUUGACAUCUGGCCGUACUCAUAACCGCAUCAGGUCUCCAAGGUGAGUAGCCUCUGGUCGAUAGAAUAAUGUAGAUAAGGGAAGUCGGCAAAAUAGAUCCGUAACUUCGGGAAAAGGAUUGGCUCUUUGGAUUGGGUGGGAUGGGGGCUCGGGGAGAGGGAGGAUGGUAGACGGGGGUGCUGGCGUCCGCAAGGACAAAGGCGUGCCUUGACACUGGAGCCCCAAACGCCGGGUCUAGUCGUGGUGGCCUCACGGCCGGGCGGCGUCCGCCCCACAACUAACAAUUAACAAAGAACUGGUACGGACAAGGGGAAUCCGACUGUUUAAUUAAAACAAAGCAAAGCGAUGGCCAGAAAAUGGUGUUGACGCUUUGUGAUUUCUGCCCAGUGCUCUGAAUGUCAAUGUGAUGAAAUUCAAUCAAGCGCGGGUCAACGGCGGGAGUAACUAUGACUCUCUUAAGGUAGCCAAAUGCCUCGUCAUCUAACUAGUGACGCGCAUGAAUGGAUUAACGAGAUUCCCACUGUCCCUAUCUACUAUCUAGCGAAACCACAGCCAAGGGAACGGGCUUGGCAAAGUCAGCGGGGAAAGAAGACCCUGUUGAGCUUGACUCUAGUCCGACUUUGUGAAAUGACUUGGAAGGCGUAGAGUAAGUGGGAGGGAAACCGUCGUUGAAACACCACUACUUCCAACGUUGUUUUACUUAAUUAAUGAUGUAGGAGGGGUGUAAAAGCCUACUUCUGGAGUUAACCCUUGCCAAUAGGCGGGGCAACCUAGGUUAGUAACAUAGUCAGGUGGGGAGUUUGGCUGGGGCGGCACAUCUGUUAAACGAUAACACAGGUGUCCUAAGAUGAGCUCAAUGAGAACAGAAAUCUCAUGUAGAACAAAAGGGUAAAAGCUCAUUUGAUUUUGAUUUUCAGUAUGAAUACAAACUGUGAAAGCAUGGCCUAUCGAUCCUUUAGACUGUUGGUCAUUUCAACCUAGAGGUGUCAGAAAAGUUACCACAGGGAUAACUGGCUUGUGGCAGCCAAGCGUUCAUAGCGACGUUGCUUUUUGAUUCUUCGAUKUCGGCUCUUCCUAUCAUUGCGAAGCAGAAUUCACCAAGUGUUGGAUUGUUCACCCA